This is a long non-coding RNA of Prunus dulcis (almond), 885 nucleotides long. RefSeq lists it as uncharacterized. The transcript is spliced from 6 exons. The record is from RefSeq and is a predicted model, not a curated record. NCBI's taxonomy places the organism in Eukaryota, Viridiplantae, Streptophyta, Magnoliopsida, Rosales, Rosaceae.
UACCUCUCUCCGCGGUCUUGUUCUUCCCACCUCGUCGCCUUGCCUUUGCCUCAACCAUAGACAGCGAGACUCUGUCUCUGUCUGUCUGUCUGUCUGUCUGUCUGUCUGUCUCUCUCUCUCUCUCUCUCUCUCUCUCUCUCUCUCUCUCCCCUUCUAGUUCAGAGGGAUUUGGGUUUUAAUUUUAGGGUUACUGAUUUGGGGUUACUGAUUUGAGUUUUAAUCUAACCAUUUGGGUGUUGGCUUGUGGUCGCUUUACCUCGAUCAACAAAGGUGCUUAGCUUUUCCAUCUCUCUUGCCCUCUACGGCUUUUGCGCUCACUCUGAAGCUUUGAUAGGUGAUGGCUUCGAAACGGAUCUUGAAGGAGCUGAAGGACGUCCAGAAAGAUCCUCCUACUUCAUGCAGCGCUGCGAGUUCCAAGACAUAUUCGAUGUGGAUCAUUUCAUCACAUCCUUGAGAGAUGAAGUUCGCAUAUUGAAAGAGUUGCCUCCGAGGGUUAAGAGGAUAGUGGCCACCAAUUAGUUGGUCUGACAUGUCUUAUUAUCAUAAUCAGGUUGUAACGCUGAGGAGGUGGAAGAAUUGACAAGAAUGAGAUAUGCUUAUCCCUGAUGGAAAGAGAAAAUAAUCAAUUCUGACCUGAAAAGGAAAGAUGGUUUAUGUCCUCUGACACCUGAAGAAACCACUCUUAUGUUAAAAUGUAAACUGCCUAGCUAAUUUCUGAUUAGUUAGUAAUCACUUAGUCAGUUUAUAUUUAGUCUAUUUAAGCCAUUUGUUAGCUGAGCAUCUUGAGCUCAUAUGCCAAGUGUAAGGCUUAGGUUUGUCUCUCUUUUCCAGCGGUCCUAAAGCUUUGUAAUGCCAUGUGUCAUAUUCACAUUGGCUUAACCUUCA